GGCCGAAUGGUGUAGUUGGUUAUCACGUGUCGUUAACACUGACAAGGUCCUGAGAUCGAGCCUCAGUUUGGUCA
RNAcentral lists this transfer RNA (74 nucleotides) under Trichophyton rubrum. RNAcentral describes it as "tRNA-Val". RNAcentral also lists the same sequence under 1 other name. Lineage: Eukaryota; Fungi; Ascomycota; Eurotiomycetes; Onygenales; Arthrodermataceae. The record is from RNAcentral.